GGAAGGGUGGCCGAGCGGUUGAUGGCGCUGGUCUUGAAAACCAGUUUCCGAGUAAUCGGAACGUGAGUUCGAAUCUCACCCCUUCCG
RNAcentral lists this transfer RNA (87 nucleotides) under bacterium. Its description in RNAcentral is "tRNA-Ser". It matches the Rfam family "tRNA". Rfam says of the family: Transfer RNA (tRNA) molecules are approximately 80 nucleotides in length. Their secondary structure includes four short double-helical elements and three loops (D, anti-codon, and T loops). The record is from RNAcentral. RNAcentral also lists the same sequence under 4 other names.